CCAAAGAACAUUCAACGCUGUCGGUGAGUUUGGGAUUUAAAAAAAAAAAACCACCGACCGUUGACUGUACCUUG
Molecule: microRNA precursor, 74 nt
Filed under: Nannospalax galili (Upper Galilee mountains blind mole rat)
Lineage: Eukaryota; Metazoa; Chordata; Mammalia; Rodentia; Spalacidae
Description: miRNA (ENSNGAG00000006142.1)
Rfam family: mir-181 microRNA precursor family
About the family: In this case the mature sequence comes from the 5' arm of the precursor. The extents of the hairpin precursors are not generally known and are estimated based on hairpin prediction.
Source: RNAcentral